Long non-coding RNA from Amphiprion ocellaris (clown anemonefish), 633 nucleotides. RefSeq lists it as uncharacterized. The record is from RefSeq and is a predicted model, not a curated record. The transcript has 2 exons. NCBI's taxonomy places the organism in Eukaryota, Metazoa, Chordata, Actinopteri, Pomacentridae.
AUUGGAAGUUUGUCGGCUUAGACCUGGUGUCAUUCCAUCAGUUUUAAACUUCCCAGCUCAUCUUGGAAGAGUACGUGCCAGAAAGACCACGACCAAGCAGCCUUGAGAUCUUAGGCAGCGUCUCCCUGAGGUCCCUCUCUAUCUCCCCACACAUCCACCAACCACUGGAACACAUCUCCAAAGUUCUGCCAGGCCAGCUCAGCUUCCCCUCAGAAGAAGUGCCGCCACCUGUCAGAUGAAGGAGCCUUUUGAGAGGCAGCUGGCAUCGUGAUUGGACUGUACUUUGGUCUGUUCCAAUCCAGCUUCAGCUCCAGAGACAGCAGGUGGGACGAGUCAACGGAGGCCGGGUGGACGAAGGCAUGCAGCUGAGUACAAUCCAGAAAACAACAGAGGAGGAGUGCAGCGGUCCAGGGCCAGAACAACCAGAGUAGCAUCGUAUGUCUCUUAGAAAACAUCAUAGUGUAGCCUUUGGUAAGAAAAAACGCCAUCAUAUACAUCGUAUAUUGUACAAAUAACAAGCCAAAGGAAAGAGACAUACAUUGUAGAAUUGUAGUAAUUGUGGGCUGACUGAUUUACUGAUUAUCAGUAUUUUAUUUUUUACUGAUUUACGGUAAUAAAUACAUUUAAAAAUGG